AACUUUCAACAACGGAUCUCUUGGUUCUCGCAUCGAUGAAGAACGCAGCGAAAUGCGAUAAGUAAUAUGAAUUGCAGAUAUUAGUGAAUCAUCGAAUCUUUGAACGCACAUUGCGCCCUUUGGUAUUCCAAAGGGCAUGCCUGUUUGAGCGUCAUUU
RNAcentral lists this ribosomal RNA (157 nucleotides) under Lodderomyces parapsilosis. RNAcentral describes it as "Candida parapsilosis 5.8S ribosomal RNA". It matches the Rfam family "5.8S ribosomal RNA". Rfam says of the family: 5.8S ribosomal RNA (5.8S rRNA) is a component of the large subunit of the eukaryotic ribosome. It is transcribed by RNA polymerase I as part of the 45S precursor that also contains 18S and 28S rRNA. The record is from RNAcentral. Lineage: Eukaryota; Fungi; Ascomycota; Pichiomycetes; Serinales; Debaryomycetaceae.